GUGGGCCUGGUGUGUUCCCUGUGUGGUGGCCUUGUGUCACCCUGAUGCCACCAAGCUCUUCUCAAGGGGGGAGGAAAAAAGGUCCAUGGCCGCUCGGUGGGGGAAAGCCUGUCCCAAAAUUUCUCUGGCUCGUGGUGGACAUGUGGCAACCGACGGACCCGAGGCUGGGACGUGUCACAGGCCACACGUGGGGAUGUCACACGAACAGCGGUGGGGACAUGUGCUGCCACCACCAUGGACACGGGCACAUCCCACCUCGUGCUCCAGGGCGUUGGUGCCCUCGAGGAGACACAACCCCAUGGGCCACCGAGGCUGGGGACAUCACCACUGCCACCUCCCUUGGGCUGCAGGUGGCUGGUGUGGUUUGGUGGGGCCGUGCUGUGGUGUGGCCACCAUGGCCACCCACUGUGGUCACCGAGGCCACCUACUGCGGCCACUGCCCAUGGUUUGCAGUGUCCUGCACUGCUGUGCCAGGUCCCACUGUGGUGGCACCCAUCCCCUGGCAGCACAGGGGCUCAGCAGGGACGGGUGUCACGGGCUGGUGACCAGAGGUCCCUUGGCACGCACAAGGCCACCAGAGCGUGGUGGCCAUGGGUGGCUGUUGGUGGCCAUGGAGCCUCAGAGUCACCACGGUGGCGGUGCUGAUGGUGGUGCUGCCCGCAAACCCCUCUGUGGCCUCCACAGCACCCAUCCCUCUGUCCCUGUCCUCCCCCUGUCCUUCCGUCCCUCCUCUUCCUCCUAUAUCUUCUUCCCUUCAUCCCUUUCCUCUGCCCACCCUUCCUUCCAUCCCUGCGUCCCCCGCUUAUGUCCAUCCGGCCUUCCUUCUGUCUGUCCUUCCCUCCCUCCCUUCAUCUCUUUCCAUCCGUCCUUCCUCCCUCCCAUACGUCCAUCCUUCUGUCCUUCCUUCCUUCCCUCCUGUCCUUGGUCCCUUUCCCCCUUCCCUCCGUCUGUCCGUCCUUCUGUCCAUCCAUCCUUCCCUGCCUCCUCCUGUCCCUUUCCUCUGUCCAUCCUUCUCUCCCUUUCUAUCCGUCCUUUUCCUCCUCCUGUCUGUCUUUCUGUCUAUCCUUCCAUCCUUCCCUUUCCUACUUCUGUCUGUCCUUUCCUACUUCUGUCCAUCUGUCCUUCUCUGGUCUCUCUGCUUCCUUCCAUCUCGUUCCACUUCCUUCCAUCCCUCCUCCUGUCCUUUGUCCCUUUCCAACUUCUCGCUUCCUUCUGUCCAUCUGUCCCUUCAUCCUUCUCCUCCCGUCCGUUGGUCUGUCCGUCCCUCUAUCCGUUGGUCUGUCCAUCCCUCUGUCCUUGCCUCCCUCUCCCUUCCUUCCCACCGUCCCUCUGUCCGUCCUUCCUUCUGUCCUUCCCUUUCCUCCCUCCUCUGUGCAUCCAUUCUUCCCGUCAUCCCUUCCCUACCUCUGUCCGUCCUUCUGUCCAUCCUCCCCUGUCCCCCUUCACCCUCUUUGCGGGGAGGACAGACCAUGGGGUGUCCCACUGUCU
This 1488-nucleotide long non-coding RNA is filed under the name Calidris pugnax (ruff). RNAcentral's name for it is "lncRNA (ENSCPUG00000019867.1)". Lineage: Eukaryota; Metazoa; Chordata; Aves; Charadriiformes; Scolopacidae. The record is from RNAcentral.